This 491-nucleotide ribosomal RNA is filed under the name uncultured bacterium. RNAcentral's name for it is "partial 16S ribosomal RNA". It matches the Rfam family "Bacterial small subunit ribosomal RNA", at positions 29 to 507 of the family's 1533-position model. The record is from RNAcentral.
GUGAACGCUUGCGGUAGGCCUAACCCCUGCCAGUCGCACGGCAGCACAGUAAGAGCUUGCUCUUACGGGUGGCGAGUGGCGGACGGGUGAGGAAUACAUCGGAAUCUACUUUUUCGUGGGGGAUAACGUAGGGAAACUUACGCUAAUACCGCAUACGACCUACGGGUGAAAGCAGGGGAUCUUCGGACCUUGCGCGAUUGAAUGAGCCGAUGUCGGAUUAGCUAGUUGGCGGGGUAAAGGCCCACCAAGGCGACGAUCCGUAGCUGGUCUGAGAGGAUGAUCAGCCACACUGGAACUGAGACACGGUCCAGACUCCUACGGGAGGCAGCAGUGGGGAAUAUUGGACAAUGGGCGCAAGCCUGAUCCAGCCAUACCGCGUGGGUGAAGAAGGCCUUCGGGUUGUAAAGCCCUUUUGUUGGGAAAGAAAAGCAGCAGGUUAAUACCCCGCUGUUCUGACGGUACCCAAAGAAUAAGCACCGGCUAACUUCGUG